UUCCAUUGCUACAGGCACUGGUAGAACCUUUCACUCUUGAGCAACGUUGAUCUGAAAAACAAUGUAUAUCCAAUUACAGAGCAUUGAAUUUGUUAACUAGCAUCUAGAAGUCAUUUUUCUACAGUAAUGUCUCAAGGCAGGAAACUACCUUCAAUAUAUGAUCAAUCUUGACACCAGGUGUCUCUAAUUUGGAUUGAAUUUGGAAACGUUGGCAAAGAGUAACCAGCACAAUGAUUGAAAGAAAAUGUUUUAUUAUUGCUACAUAUUUCAAAUAAUGCAAUACUGUAUAAUCACAAUUGGUAAGGGCAUAUAAUGAAAUA
Non-coding RNA from Mus caroli (Ryukyu mouse), 320 nucleotides. NCBI's taxonomy places the organism in Eukaryota, Metazoa, Chordata, Mammalia, Rodentia, Muridae. The record is from RefSeq and is a predicted model, not a curated record.